Molecule: ribosomal RNA, 373 nt
Filed under: uncultured organism
Description: partial 16S ribosomal RNA
Rfam family: Bacterial small subunit ribosomal RNA
Source: RNAcentral
GUAGGUGGCAAGCGUUGUCCGGAAUUAUUGGGCGUAAAGCGCGCGCAGGCGGUUCUUUAAGUCUGAUGUGAAAGCCCACGGGCUCAACCGUGGAGGGUCAUUGGAAACUGGAGAACUUGAGUACAGAAGAGGAAAGCGGAAUUCCACGUGUAGCGGUGAAAUGCGUAGAGAUGUGGAGGAACACCAGUGGCGAAGGCGGCUUUCUGGUCUGUAACUGACGCUGAGGCGCGAAAGCGAGGGGAGCAAACAGGAUUAGAUACCCUGGUAGUCCACGCCGUAAACGAUGAGUGCUAAGUGUUAGGGGGUUUCCGCCCCCUUAGUGCUGCAGCUAACGCAUUAAGCACUCCGCCUGGGGAGUACGGCCGCAAGGCUA